This 378-nucleotide ribosomal RNA is filed under the name uncultured bacterium. RNAcentral describes it as "bacterial SSU rRNA". It matches the Rfam family "Bacterial small subunit ribosomal RNA", at positions 362 to 758 of the family's 1533-position model. The record is from RNAcentral.
UUUUGGGCAAUGGGCGAAAGCCUGACCCAGCAACGCCGCGUGAAGGAUGAAGUAUUUCGGUAUGUAAACUUCGAAAGAAUAGGAAGAAUCAAUGACGGUACUAUUUAUAAGGUCCGGCUAACUACGUGCCAGCAGCCGCGGUAAUACGUAGGGACCAAGCGUUGUUCGGAUUUACUGGGCGUAAAGGGCGCGUAGGCGGCGUUGUAAGUCACUUGUGAAAUCUCUGUGCUUAACUCAGAACGGCCAAGUGAUACUGCAGUGCUAGAGUGUGGAAGGGGCAAUCGGAAUUCUUGGUGUAGCGGUGAAAUGCGUAGAUAUCAAGAGGAACACCUGAGGGAAGACGGGUUGCUAGUCCAAACACUGACGCGAGGCGCGAAA